CCUACGGGAGGCCGCAGUGAGGAAUAUUGGUCAAUGGGCGGAAGCCUGAACCAGCCAAGUAGCGUGCAGGAUGACGGCCCUCCGGGUUGUACACUGCUUUUAUACGGGAAUAACGCGCCUUACGUGUAGGGCUUUGCAUGUACCGUAUGAAUAAGGACCGGCUAAUUCCGUGCCAGCAGCCGCGGUAAUACGGAGGGUCCGGGCGUUAGCCGGAUUUAUGGGGUUUAAAGGGAGCGUAGGCCGCAUGUCAAGCUUGCUGUGAAAUGUCCGGGCUCAACCCGGGCCUUGCAGCGCGAACUGGCGUGCUUGAGUCCGCGGAAAGCAGGCGGAAGUCGUCGUGUAGCGGUGAAAUGCGUAGAUAUGACGAAGAACCCCGAUUGCGAAGGCAGCUUGCUGCAGCGGAACUGACGCUGAUGCUCGAAAGCGCGGGUAUCGAACAGGAUUAGAUACCCCUGUAGUC
Molecule: ribosomal RNA, 460 nt
Filed under: uncultured bacterium
Lineage: Bacteria
Description: partial 16S ribosomal RNA
Rfam family: Bacterial small subunit ribosomal RNA
Source: RNAcentral